Molecule: ribosomal RNA, 330 nt
Filed under: uncultured bacterium
Lineage: Bacteria
Description: bacterial SSU rRNA
Rfam family: Bacterial small subunit ribosomal RNA
Source: RNAcentral
AGAGUUCGAUCCUGGCUCAGAUUGAACGCUGGCGGCAGGCCUAACACAUGCAAGUCGAACGGUAACAGGAAGCAGCUUGCUGCUUUGCUGACGAGUGGCGGACGGGUGAGUAAUGUCUGGGAAAUUGCCUGAUGGAGGGGGAUAACUACUGGAAACGGUAGCUAAUACCGCAUAAUGUCGCAAGACCAAAGAGGGGGACCUUCGGGCCUCUUGCCAUCGGAUGUGCCCAGAUGGGACUAGCUGGUAGGUGGGGUAAAGGCUCACCUAGGCGACGAUCCCUAGCUGGUCUGAGAGGAUGACCAGCCACACUGGAACUGAGACACGGUCCAG